This 1447-nucleotide ribosomal RNA is filed under the name uncultured bacterium. Its description in RNAcentral is "bacterial SSU rRNA". It matches the Rfam family "Bacterial small subunit ribosomal RNA". The record is from RNAcentral.
GAUGAACGCUAGCUACAGGCUUAACACAUGCAAGUCGAGGGGCAGCAUGGUCUUAGCUUGCUAAGGCCGAUGGCGACCGGCGCACGGGUGAGUAACGCGUAUCCAACCUGCCUUACACUCUUGGACAGCCUUCUGAAAGGGAGAUUAAUACAAGAUGUUAUCAUGAGUAAGCAUUUUCGCAUGAUUAAAGGUUUACCGGUGUAAGAUGGGGAUGCGUUCCAUUAGAUAGUAGGCGGGGUAACGGCCCACCUAGUCUUCGAUGGAUAGGGGUUCUGAGAGGAAGGUCCCCCACAUUGGAACUGAGACACGGUCCAAACUCCUACGGGAGGCAGCAGUGAGGAAUAUUGGUCAAUGGACGAGAGUCUGAACCAGCCAAGUAGCGUGAAGGAUGAAGGUUCUAUGGAUUGUAAACUUCUUUUAUACGGGAAUAAACGAAUCCACGCGUGGAUUUUUGCAUGUACCGUAUGAAUAAGGAUCGGCUAACUCCGUGCCAGCAGCCGCGGUAAUACGGAGGAUCCGAGCGUUAUCCGGAUUUAUUGGGUUUAAAGGGAGCGUAGAUGGGUUGUUAAGUCAGUUGUGAAAGUUGCGGCUCAACCGUAAAAUGCAAUUGAUACUGGCAGUCUUGGAGUACAGUUGAGGUAGGCGGAAUUCGUGGUGUAGCGGUGAAAUGCUUAGAUAUCACGAAGAACUCCGAUUGCGAAGGCAGCUUACUAACCUGUAACUGACAUUGAUGCUCGAAAGCGUGGGUAUCAAACAGGAUUAGAUACCCUGGUAGUCCACACGGUAAACGAUGAAUACUCGCUGUAGGCGAUAUACAGUCUGCGGCCAAGCGAAAGCAUUAAGUAUUCCACCUGGGGAGUACGCCGGCAACGGUGAAACUCAAAGGAAUUGACGGGGGCCCGCACAAGCGGAGGAACAUGUGGUUUAAUUCGAUGAUACGCGAGGAACCUUACCCGGGCUUAAAUUGCAACCGAAUAUGGCGGAAACGCUAUAGCUAGCAAUAGCGGUUGUGAAGGUGCUGCAUGGUUGUCGUCAGCUCGUGCCGUGAGGUGUCGGCUUAAGUGCCAUAACGAGCGCAACCCUUGCCGAUAGUUACUAACAGGUUAUGCUGAGGACUCUGUCGGGACUGCCAUCGUAAGAUGUGAGGAAGGUGGGGAUGACUGUCAAAUCAGCACGGCCUUACGUCCGGGGCUACACACGUGUUACAAUGGGGGGUACAGAGGGCUGCUACCACGCAAGUGGAUGCCAAUCCCAAAAACCUCUCUCAGUUCGGAUUGAAGUCUGCAACCCGACUUCAUGAAGCUGGAUUCGCUAGUAAUCGCGCAUCAGCCACGGCGCGGUGAAUACGUUCCCGGGCCUUGUACACACCGCCCGUCAAGCCAUGGGAGCCGGGGGUACCUGAAGUGCGUAACCGCAAGGAGCGCCCUAGGGUAAAACUGGUGACUGG